This 497-nucleotide ribosomal RNA is filed under the name uncultured bacterium. RNAcentral's name for it is "partial 16S ribosomal RNA". It matches the Rfam family "Bacterial small subunit ribosomal RNA", at positions 28 to 507 of the family's 1533-position model. The record is from RNAcentral.
GAUGAACGCUGGCGGCGUGCCUAAUACAUGUAAGUCGAGCGAACAGACGAGGAGCUUGCUCCUCUGACGUUAGCGGCGGACGGGUGAGUAACACGUGGAUAACCUACCUAUAAGACUGGGAUAACUUCGGGAAACCGGAGCUAAUACCGGAUAAUAUAUUGAACCGCAUGGUUCAAUAGUGAAAGACGGUUUUGCUGUCACUUAUAGAUGGAUCCGCGCCGCAUUAGCUAGUUGGUAAGGUAACGGCUUACCAAGGCAACGAUGCGUAGCCGACCUGAGAGGGUGAUCGGCCACACUGGAACUGAGACACGGUCCAGACUCCUACGGGAGGCAGCAGUAGGGAAUCUUCCGCAAAGGGCGAAAGCUUGACGGAGCAACGCCGCGUGAGUGAUGAAGGUCUUCGGAUCGUAAAACUCUGUUAUUAGGGAAGAACAAAUGUGUAAGUAACUAUGCACGUCUUGACGGUACCUAAUCAGAAAGCCACGGCUAACUACGUG